GAUGAACGCUAGCGGGAGGCCUAACACAUGCAAGCCGAGCGGUAUUUGUCUUUCGGGACAGAGAGAGCGGCGUACGGGUGCGGAACACGUGUGCAACCUGCCUUUAUCAGGGGGACAGCCUUUCGAAAGGAAGAUUAAUACCCCAUAAUAUAUUGAAUGGCAUCAUUUGAUAUUGAAAACUCCGGUGGAUAGAGAUGGGCACGCGCAAGAUUAGAUAGUUGGUAGGGUAACGGCCUACCAAGUCAGUGAUCUUUAGGGGGCCUGAGAGGGUGAUCCCCCGCACUGGUACUGAGAAACGGACCAGACUCCUACGGGAGGCAGCAGUGAGGAAUAUUGGACAAUGGGUGAGAGCCUGAUCCAGCCAUCCCGCGUGAAGGACGACGGCCCUAUGGGUUGUAAACUUCUUUUGUAUAGGGAUAAACCUAGAUACGUGUAUCUAGCUGAAGGUACUAUACGAAUAAGCACCGGCUAACUCCGUGCCAGCAGCCGCAGUAA
RNAcentral lists this ribosomal RNA (495 nucleotides) under uncultured bacterium. RNAcentral describes it as "partial 16S ribosomal RNA". It matches the Rfam family "Bacterial small subunit ribosomal RNA", at positions 28 to 523 of the family's 1533-position model. The record is from RNAcentral.